GACGAACGCUGGCGGCGUGCCUAAUACAUGCAAGUCGAACGAACGGAUAAAGAGCUUGCUCUUUUGAAGUUAGUGGCGGACGGGUGAGUAACACGUGGGUAACCUGCCUCACAGCUGGGGAUAACAUCGAGAAAUCGAUGCUAAUACCGAAUGUGCUGAACAUCCUAAGAGGUUCAAGUGAAAGACGGUUUCUGCUGUCACUGUGAGAUGGACCCGCGCUGGAUUAGCUAGUUGGUAAGGUAAUGGCUUACCAAGGCGACGAUCCAUAGCCGACCUGAGAGGGUGAUCGGCCACACUGGGACUGAGACACGGCCCAAACUCCUACGGGAGGCAGCAGUAGGGAAUCUUCGGCAAUGGGCGAAAGUCUGACCGAGCAACGCCGCGUGAGCGAAGAAGGCCUUCGGGUCGUAAAGCUCUGUUGUUAGAGAAGAACAUGUGUGAGAGUAACUGUUCACCUCUUGACGGUAUCUAACCAGAAAGCCACGGCUAACUACGUG
Molecule: ribosomal RNA, 497 nt
Filed under: uncultured bacterium
Lineage: Bacteria
Description: partial 16S ribosomal RNA
Rfam family: Bacterial small subunit ribosomal RNA
Source: RNAcentral